Molecule: transfer RNA, 68 nt
Filed under: Monodonta labio
Lineage: Eukaryota; Metazoa; Mollusca; Gastropoda; Trochida; Trochidae
Description: tRNA-Pro
Source: RNAcentral
CAAGGUAGUAGUUUAAUUAAAAUAUUGGCAUUGGAAGCCAGAGAUUGGGGCAUGGCGCCAUUCCUUGA